UUACUCAGAAAUUGGUGUAAAAAAAAUUAAAAAAAUCUUCCAUAUCCAACACAUUAUCGGUUUUUUUUUUUUCUGCUGCAAAAAUUAGAGUUUCGAUCUUCUACUCUCUAUGCUCUUAUCUUCAUCUUUCUCUACUCGAUCUUCUCGCCGAUCUAAGUUCUCGUAAGUUUCAUUUCAUUCAACUCUUUUCUUAUCAGCAGUUUCUCGCCUUCAAUUUUAAUUUUCUCUUUGUUUCUAGCUUUUUUCUUUCGGAUUACUAUGUUUACAUGUCCUCUCAGCAACUUCAAUUUUUGUAGUUCUUCCAUCUUCCAACUUCACGCAGUGAUAUUUUAAAAUUGCGUUAAUUUUUUGUUUCAGUUUAUAUAGUGUUGAGGUUUUAGAAUCUCUUGUUGCUUGUUGCUUCCGAUUUUUUUUCCAGGUGGAUCCGUGGUUUCAGGUAGAAUUUGUCGAAAUGCCAGAAAUUGUGUUUUUUAGAUUUGAUACGUUGACCUUGUUAAGUGGAAUGUGGGUUGUGGUAGUAAGGUACUAAGAUUUAGGGAAGUAAUCACGAAUUUGGUUUAAUGUAAUUAGCUACAGAAUAUGGUUAUUUGAAUUAUUGCAUAUAUGUAGUUUCUGUUGGGCCGAUUUAUGCUAAAUCACUUGAACUUGAACUAGAUUAAUAGUAAUUAAACUAGGUAUAAUUCAAGUAUAAUGUGUAAGGAAAAUGGUUAUUUAGACAAUAAAAAGGGGAUCUAUCUUAACCACCGUUUAUUUAAGUUUCAAUUCACC
This 768-nucleotide long non-coding RNA is filed under the name Arachis ipaensis. RNAcentral's name for it is "long non-coding RNA (AIPA_LNC001062)". Lineage: Eukaryota; Viridiplantae; Streptophyta; Magnoliopsida; Fabales; Fabaceae. The record is from RNAcentral.